UACGUAGGGUACAAGCAUUAAUCGGAAUUAUUGGGCGUAAAGGGCGCGUAGGCGGGGAUGUAAGUCAGGUGUGAAAUACCAAAGCUCAACUUUGGUGCUGCAUUUGAAACUGCAUUUCUUGAGGACUGACGGAGAAAGCGGAAUUCCAUGUGUAGCGGUGAAAUGCGUAGAUACAUGGAGGAACACCGGUGGCGAAAGCGGCUUUCUAGUUUUUACCUGACGCUGAGGCGCGAGAGCAAGGGGAGCAAACAGG
RNAcentral lists this ribosomal RNA (253 nucleotides) under uncultured bacterium. RNAcentral's name for it is "partial 16S ribosomal RNA". It matches the Rfam family "Bacterial small subunit ribosomal RNA", at positions 524 to 776 of the family's 1533-position model. The record is from RNAcentral. RNAcentral also lists the same sequence under 1 other name.